Molecule: transfer RNA, 86 nt
Filed under: Tremella mesenterica DSM 1558
Lineage: Eukaryota; Fungi; Basidiomycota; Tremellomycetes; Tremellales; Tremellaceae
Description: tRNA-Tyr (GTA) (tRNA-Tyr-GTA-2-1)
Rfam family: tRNA
About the family: Transfer RNA (tRNA) molecules are approximately 80 nucleotides in length. Their secondary structure includes four short double-helical elements and three loops (D, anti-codon, and T loops).
Source: Rfam by way of RNAcentral
GAGCGAAUACGUCUAAUUGGUAAGGCAGCCGGCUGUAAACCGGUCACAGGUAACUCCUAUUGUUGGUUCAAGUCCAGCUUCUCUCA